This 552-nucleotide ribosomal RNA is filed under the name Durgades nigropicta. Its description in RNAcentral is "partial 16S ribosomal RNA". Lineage: Eukaryota; Metazoa; Arthropoda; Insecta; Hemiptera; Cicadellidae. The record is from RNAcentral.
UGCCUGUUUUUAAAAAACAUUUCUUUUAGGAAAAUAUUAAAAGUAAUUUCUGCUCAAUGAUUAAAUUUAAAUAGCUGCAGUAUAUUGACUGUACAAAGGUAGCAUAAUAAUUAGUUCAUUAAUUGUGAACUGGAAUGAAUGAAUAUAUGAAAUGCUUGUUUUAUUUAUUUUAUUAUUAGAAUUUUAUUUUUAGGUUAAAAAGCUUAAAUAAUUUUUAGGGACGAUAAGACCCUAUAGAGGUUUAAUUUUAAUUUAAUUUUAAGUUAUUUUUGUAUAAUAUUUAUUUACUUUGAUUAUUUAGGAAUUUUUUCUGGGGCGGAUUAUAAAUUUAAACUUUAUUUUUUAUAUUCAUUUAUAUAUGAUUUUGUUGAUCCGAUAUAUUUAUUAUUCGAUUAUAAGAAAUAGCUACCUUAGGGAUAACAGCGUAAUUUCAAUGGGGAGUUCUUAUUUAUAUUGAAGUUUGCGACCUCGAUGUUGAAUUAAGAUUAGAUUUUGAGGUAGUUUUUAAUUUUCUAAGUCUGUUCGACUUUUAAAUUCUUACAUGAUCUGUUU